GACGAACGCUGGCGGCGUGCUUAACACAUGCAAGUCGAACGGUAAGGCCCUUCGGGGUACACGAGUGGCGAACGGGUGAGUAACACGUGGGUGAUCUGCCCCGCACUUCGGGAUAAGCCUGGGAAACUGGGUCUAAUACCGGAUAGGACCACUGCCUGCAUGGGUGGUGGUGGAAAGCUUUUGCGGUGUGGGAUGGGCCCGCGGCCUAUCAGCUUGUUGGUGGGGUGAUGGCCUACCAAGGCGACGACGGGUAGCCGGCCUGAGAGGGUGACCGGCCACACUGGGACUGAGAUACUGCCCAGCCUCCUACGGGAGGCAGCAGUGGGGAAUAUUGCACAAUGGGCGCAAGCCUGAUGCAGCGACGCCGCGUGAGGGAUGACGGCCUUCGGGUUGUAAACCUCUUUCAGCACCGACGAAGCGCAAGUGACGGUAGGUGCAGAAGAAGGACCGGCCAACUACGUGCCAGCAGCCGCGGUAA
RNAcentral lists this ribosomal RNA (478 nucleotides) under uncultured bacterium. RNAcentral describes it as "partial 16S ribosomal RNA". It matches the Rfam family "Bacterial small subunit ribosomal RNA", at positions 28 to 523 of the family's 1533-position model. The record is from RNAcentral.